RNAcentral lists this ribosomal RNA (253 nucleotides) under uncultured bacterium. Its description in RNAcentral is "partial 16S ribosomal RNA". It matches the Rfam family "Bacterial small subunit ribosomal RNA", at positions 524 to 776 of the family's 1533-position model. The record is from RNAcentral.
GACGAACCGUGCGAACGUUGUUCGGAAUCACUGGGCUUAAAGGGCGCGUAGGCGGGCACCCAAGUCGGGGGUGAAAUCUUUCGGCUCAACCGGGAAAGGGCCCCCGAUACUGGAUGCCUCGAGGGGGGUAGGGGCGUGCGGAACUUCCGGUGGAGCGGUGAAAUGCGUAGAGAUCUGGAAGAACACCAAUGGCGAAGGCAGCAUCCUGGGAAGACCCUGACGCUAAUGUGCGAAAGCUAGGGGAGCGAACGGG